This is a long non-coding RNA of Pipistrellus kuhlii (Kuhl's pipistrelle), 2809 nucleotides long. RefSeq lists it as uncharacterized. The record is from RefSeq and is a predicted model, not a curated record. The transcript has 2 exons. Lineage: Eukaryota; Metazoa; Chordata; Mammalia; Chiroptera; Vespertilionidae.
GCAAUGAUCAAUGAUUCUCCAUCAUUGAUGUUCCUGUCUCUCUCCCCUUUUCCCUUCCUUUCUCUGAAAUCAGUAAACACUUUUUUUUAAAAGAAAGUACAAGAAUAGAGAAUGAAGGGUGGAGGAGGCACAACUCUUACCUGUUGAUAAAGGAAUUUUUAGUAUUUGGUUAGCUUUAUGUUUUAAAAAUGAUAAGUAUGAUAUUUAUCAUGUAUGAUAAAAUUCAGGUAACUUUUUCCUGGUGAACUUGAUAGUUCCCACUUGCCUUUAAUUGUAGCCACGUCUUUAUGGUACAGUUGCAUUUGUAAAUAGCUUUUUUAUGUUAAUGUAAUGUCUGUUGUUUCAGUCCUACUUAUUUAUCAUAACUUAAUCAAAAAUAUUCUCAUAAUGCUGUGAUAUCAUUUUGUAAUAAUUUUAUUCCACAUAAAAGAAUUACUAUGAGUAGCUAAAUUUAUUGGGAUUUACAUGUUAUGACUUACACAAUUGUAUUGUAAAAUGCAUUAUAAGAUAGCAGCUUUGUCAUGUGCCAGGCCAAAAAGUUCCCCAAAGGAAGUUCCAAAAGGACUGAAUGUAUAUUAUUUAACUUACUAAGACAGCUUUAUUGCAUAGAAUGAAGGUGGGAGUUAGAAUAAAAGAAUACUAUAUAUAUCUCUAAUGUCACAGAAUUUUUAAAUUUUCUACUUCAACAGGAAGUUCUCAUUAAUGACAGGAUACAUCUUCACUAUUACAAAGAAACUAGAAUUAAUUUUAAGUGAGCCAAUAAUAUUUUUCUGUGUUAUAUAUGCUCCCACUUUCUUGAUAUUGUUUAGGUAAUAUGCCUCCAUUAUUUUUACAUAGUCAUUUUUUACUGCAUUAUUUCUCUUGAGCCUGCCCCAGGCAUUAUGAGAUUUAUUUCAGCCUGUUCUCUUAAAGCUGGCUGGUAACAUCCAUACUUCUUUUUCACUUAGAAUUAUAUCAUAUUCUUUUUUUUUGUAGGACUUUAUUUUUUUAUUUUCUUAAAAUCUUUAACAGCAAUCAAUAUCUUAUUUCACAGACUGUAAAUAUCUUUCUAAUUUUGUCCAACAUCUAAGGUUAUAAUUAUCAGAUGCUACUUUAAUUAUCUCCUUUUUGUUGUUUAAAUUAAUAAUCUAAAAAGUGUUUUUGAGAUCUGUUCUUUUAUUUUUUCUAGUGGUAAAAAUCAUAUAAUAUGUAAAACUAAUUGGUGUUAUCAAAGGGCUAUAGAAAAUUGUCAUAAUUCUAUUAAGGUUAUUUUUGAACUUUGAAAGUUAUUUUGAUACAUAGAGUUUUAUUCCUGUUUUUUACAUGUAAUUGUAUUAGUGAAAUAUUUUUGGCAUUUCUAUUUUGAUUUUGAAGCAGCCUUUAUUCUACAUUUCUAUUUUAUGUCUAAUUUAAGUGGUAGGGCAAGGCUGAUACUUGUUACCAGAUGUAGAAGCCCUUGGCCUAUUCCAUUAACAUAUUAAACAUAAAAGGGCAUCACUUCAGAAAUAUAACUAGUGCUUUUAUAGGACAGAUUUCUCUGCUGAUUGAUCUUUUACUAUCCAGACAUAUAAGUUCUACUUAUAUUUGAUUAUCAAAGGAAUUUGCCAUUUUGCAAGCUUGUUUUCAAAGGUAGCAUCAAGGUGCUAUAUGAAAGGCUAUGUCAUGUUAUACCCUAAAGAGCUGGGGUUUUUUAGCAAUAAAUUAUUUUCUGUUUGUGUUUUAUCAACAGUUAAUUCAUCCUAAUCAAAACUGUUUUCUAAUUAGAAAGGAGUUAAUAAUUGAUAUAUGAUUGAGGUGUUGAUACUUAUGUUUUAUCAUAUAUGUCUGAGCACACUUUUUCCUGCACGAAUACUUAUUCUAAGAAAUAUUCAUAGUUCGUUUCAUUCAUGUAUUUUACAAAUACUGAGUGCCUACUACGUACUAGGUGCAGUUCUGGGUGCUAGAAAUAGAGUAGUUAACAAGCCUUUCCUUAAAUUAAGGUAGAUACUGUUUAAGGUUUUCUGGAAACUAGUAAGUUCUGUAAACCAUUGGUAUGCUUGUUGUUUGUUUUCCUCUAUGCCAACUUCGUAAAAUUUCCAGGUUCCAAACGUCAUUAUGACUGCUCACUUAAUUGAUUUAAAUUUGAACAUACAGAGUCUCUUAGAAUAGUGGUCAGCAAUCUUUCGGGGCCACUGAUUGGAGACCGCUGUCUUCAAACAGCAGAAAGUGAAUAUGAGCCAUUUUAAAUGUUAAUCUCUUCUCUCGCAUCUUUGUUUAAGGAAAGUACAUAAAAUGUACUUAUUUUAAGUUCUUUUAGUCUUUAAGAAAAGUUGCUUUGACUUGGUAAUCUUUAAAGUAGGUUAGGCUUUUUUAAGUAUGACAGGCUAUUUUUGAUCUUAAGUUACUUAAGCUUAAAUUAAUACAGCUGCACAUAAGUAUUAUGUAAUGAACUAAAGGCCCAGUGCACAAAAUUCAUGCAGAGGUAGGGUCCCUCCUGGCUGCCAGCUGCUGGCAGGGCCCUCCCUUCCUUGACUGCCAGCCAGGGCUUUCCUUUGUUUUGCGCCGCCCCCUGGUGGUCAGCAUAUGUCAUAGCGACACAUUGACUUUGGUCUGUCGACAACUGAGAGGACAUUUUGCAUAUUAGGUUUUUAUAUAUAUAUAGAAGAUGCUUUAUGGGCCUUAUCAUUCAGACAGUAGUUGACUUUUCCAGACCGGUAAAAGAUCAUUUGUUCUUAAUUAAAUGAAAACCCUAAUUUCAUUAGACUUAGAGGUGUCUUUGAUGCCUAUUGAAUAAAUCAUUCACUACAUUCAAACUAAUUAUGCUAAAAUCUUUAGAAUAGAAUUUAUAGCU